GCCGAGGUGGCGGAAUGGUAGACGCGGCGGACUUAAAAUCCGCUACCAGAAAUGGUGUGUGGGUUCGACUCCCUCCCUCGGCACCA
Molecule: transfer RNA, 86 nt
Filed under: Pseudomonadales bacterium
Lineage: Bacteria; Pseudomonadati; Pseudomonadota; Gammaproteobacteria; Pseudomonadales
Also listed under: 1 other name
Description: tRNA-Leu
Rfam family: tRNA
About the family: Transfer RNA (tRNA) molecules are approximately 80 nucleotides in length.
Source: RNAcentral